GGCUUUUCUUUCUUGGGAGAUUUUUGAUUACUGAUUCAGUCUCCUUAUACAUUAUUGGUCUGCUGAGAUUUUCUAUUCUUCAUAAUUUAAUUUUGGUAGGUGGUAUGUUUCUAGUAAUUUGUUCAUUUCUUAUAAGUUAUCUAAUUUAUUGGCAUAUAAUUAUUCAUAGUUGUCUCUUAUGAUCUUUUGAAUUUCCGUGGUAUGAGUUGUAAUGUCUCUUCUUUAAUUUAAAAUUUUACUUGAAUUCUCUCUUUUCCUAAAUUAGUCUAGCCAAGGGUUUGUCGACUUUCUCUUUUCAGAAAACCAACUCUUAGUCUCAUUGAUCUUUCUACUGUUUUUCUAUAAUAGUCUCUAUUUUCUCUAUUUUAUUUUUCCUGCUCUAAUUUUUGUUAUUUUCUUCCUUUGCUAACUUGAGGCUUGGCCUAUUAUUCUCUUACCUCCUUGAGGUAUAAAGUUAGGUUGUUUAGUUGAGAUAUUUCAUUUUUCUUAACGUAAGUUUUUUGAUUUUUUGCUUGUUUGUUUUUAAGACAGGGUCUUGCUCUGUUGCCCAGGCAGAAGCACAGUGAUGUGAUCAUGGCUCACUGCAGCCUCAACCUCCUGAGCUCAAGUGAUCCUUCCAUCUCAGCCUCCCAAGUAACUGGGACCACAGGCAGAUGCCACCAUGCCCAGUGACUCCGUUCACAUGCUCCCGUCUUGUCAUCAAGCCCUGUUCAUCUCUCACCAUCUCUCACCUGGACCAUUGCCAGUUUCUGAGCUGCCUGCUCUUGAAUACCAGCUUCCUGAAAAUAUCACCAAAACGAUCUGGUCCUCAGACAAAGCAGAGUCUAUUGCUCACUGCAGUAACAGAGAGCUCCGUCUUCAGAGUCUUGGUAACAUUUCGCUGAGAGGACAACCCAAUCACACUGUUUAGGAGAUUUUGGAUUCUGACUAAGGUGCCUGGAGCAAAAAUGUGUCCAGAAUUGGUGGGUUGUUGGUCUCGCUGACCUCAAGAACGGAGCCGUGGACCCUCGCGUCAAAAUGGGUAGAGCUGAUUUGUGUGGAUCUGCUUCUGGACUCUACUCUGUUGCACUGAUUUGUGUUUGUGAUUUCAUGUCUCACCAAUAUCAAACUAUCUUGAUUACUGCAGCUUAUCACAUUGGCUGGGAAAUGAAAUUCAGUGAAUCAGAGUCAUCAUUAGAAAAUGAAAUAGAAGAACCAUACCAGAGCAUAAUGCACAUUACAAAGGGAAAAUACUAAAUUGCGCAUUGUAGCAGAGGGAAACAAGCUGGUGGUGGGAGCGGAUAGAAGAAAAUGAAGACGGCUCCAAACCUGGGGAGCGCGCAAGAAGAUGACACAAACUUUUGAAAUAACAUGAACACGGACAAGGGGAGUCAGAGGCAGAAGAGAAGGUGUUGUGAUGACAGAAGCAGAGAUCUGAGUGACUCACUUUGAAGAUGGAGGAAGAGGUCACAGGCCAAGUGAUACAGAUGCCAGGAGAAGCUGAAAACAGGAGGAAAUGGAUUCUUCCCUCAGAGCUUCUGGAAAAGAUCAGUCUUGCUGAUAACUUGACUUUAGCCCACUGAAACUGAUUUUGAACUUUUGACUUCCAGAACUACAGGGUCUCAUUAUUGUUGCCCAGACUCAUCUCAAACUC
This 1633-nucleotide long non-coding RNA is filed under the name Homo sapiens (human). Its description in RNAcentral is "HSALNT0352882". The record is from RNAcentral. Lineage: Eukaryota; Metazoa; Chordata; Mammalia; Primates; Hominidae.